This 521-nucleotide ribosomal RNA is filed under the name Cryptus sp. 3 BFS-2018. RNAcentral's name for it is "partial 16S large subunit ribosomal RNA". The stretch from base 393 to 521 matches the Rfam family "Archaeal large subunit ribosomal RNA", at positions 2542 to 2670 of the family's 2987-position model. Lineage: Eukaryota; Metazoa; Arthropoda; Insecta; Hymenoptera; Ichneumonidae. The record is from RNAcentral.
ACAUGUCUUUAUGAUUAUAAUUUAAAGUCAAAUCUGCUCCAUGAUUAAAUUUAUUAAAUAGCUGCAGUAUCUUGACUGUACAAAGGUAGCAUAAUCAAUAGUUUUUUAAUUAAAAGCUGGAAUGAAGGAUUUAAUAAGGUAAAUAUUGUCUCAAUUUUAAUAAAAUUAUAAUUUUUUUUUUAGUAAAAAUACUAAAUUGAAUUUAAAAGACGAGAAGACCCUAUAGAUUUUUAUAUUUUUUAUUUUAAUUAAUUUAAAAAAAAAUUUUAUUUAAAUUAAAAAUUAUUUGGUUGGGGAAAUUAUUAAAUUAAUUAAAUUUUAAUUAUUUAUUAACAAAAAUUAUUGAAUUAAUGAUCUUGAGAUUUUGAAUUAGAAGAAUAAAUUACCUUAGGGAUAACAGCGUAAUUUUUUUUGAGAGAUCAUAUUGAUAAAAAAGUUUGCGACCUCGAUGUUGAAUUAAGAUAAAAUUUUAAUGGAGAAGUUAAAAAUUUUUGGUCUGUUCGACCAUUAAAAUCUUACGU